AUGCUCAUUGACAACAACCGAUUUUCAUCAGUUUCAGAAACAUACACAACAAUCAACACAUAUCUAGUAACAAUUUUAACAACCCAUGUCCCACAUACUAUUUAUCAUACACCCUAUUAUAGAGUCAGAACCCCACCCUUACCUUGGAUUGGAGAUCGCUCUAUAAUUCCGAUUGCAACCCGCUGCUGCCAUAGCUCCAAAUCUUUAUUCUUCUUCUUUUCUCCAUGUACUGCAUCCUUUUCUUUUCUCUUUCUCUAA
Non-coding RNA from Vicia faba (fava bean), 258 nucleotides. The record is from the annotation of a GenBank genome assembly. Lineage: Eukaryota; Viridiplantae; Streptophyta; Magnoliopsida; Fabales; Fabaceae.